This 397-nucleotide ribosomal RNA is filed under the name uncultured bacterium. RNAcentral's name for it is "partial 16S ribosomal RNA". It matches the Rfam family "Bacterial small subunit ribosomal RNA", at positions 523 to 918 of the family's 1533-position model. The record is from RNAcentral.
AUACGUAGGUGGCAAGCGUUGUCCGGAAUUAUUGGGCGUAAAGCGCGCGCAGGUGGUUCCUUAAGUCUGAUGUGAAAGCCCCCGGCUCAACCGGGGAGGGUCAUUGGAAACUGGGGAACUUGAGUGCAGAAGAGGAUAGUGGAAUUCCAAGUGUAGCGGUGAAAUGCGUAGAUAUUUGGAGGAACACCAGUGGCGAAGGCGACUGUCGGGUAUGUAACUGACACUGAGGCGCGAAAGCGUGGGGAGCAAACAGGAUUAGAUACCCUGGUAGUCCACGCCGUAAACGAUGAGUGCUAAGUGUUGGGGGGUUGCCGCCCCUCAGUGCUGCAGCUAACGCAUUAAGCACUCCGCCUGGGGAGUACGGUCGCAAGACUGAAACUUAAAUGAAUUGACGGGG